ACCAAUUACCAGUGCGGCAAGCAAACUAUGCCCACCGAGCAAACCCGAACUCAGAGCCCGCUCCCAGAGGACGCGGGGUGGGAGGGGCUGCUUUGAAGGAAUGUUCACUGGAGGGAAAUGAGAGGCAGGUGGCCUCUCCUAGGCUGCAGGUGAUGGUGGAGGUGGCCUCUCAUUGGCUGGCGGCUGUUGCCAGGUAGAGAGGAAAUCUUCCUUCUUCCUUCCGCGUGGACUCUGCAGGAUGAGGCCAGUGGUCCUGACCUCCGUGGAGGAGCCCAGGUGGCCUGCACAGGCAUCCAGCGCCCGAGAGCUCGGUGCCUGAGGAUCUCUGGCGCAGCGCACAGCCGUGGCCCGAUGACCACGCUGCACCUGACCUGGAAAGUCAAAUACCCAGGACAUACCCAGUCAAGGGAAUGCCCGGUGAAUGCGACAGACCAGAAAUGAGAUUGUGACCGUCUCUAAACCACACCUGAAAGCCCCGCCCACUGCGAGGCCACCCCCGGGCGCCUCCGGGCGGCGCUGCUACAGGCCAAGAUGCCACGGACACACAGGCCAGCCCCGAGGGCCUUGGACUUGUGCACAGAAGUGCUCUGAGCGGCCUCUCCCUGAAGCAGUCAUGCCGCAAAGGCCACUGACGACGAAUGACACCCACUCCUGGCGGACUGGCCAAGGAGUCAUUCCACACCAUUCAAAGUCCCCCACAAGGAGCUGAGUAUGUUGCAGAACCAUUUGCGGAGGCUGGCUUUUGCUGUUGGGUACCACUUCCCAAGUGCAAGUGCCAGCCACCCUUCCUCCCAUCUCAGCAGCUCUCCAGCAUCCUAGAGGGCUCAGAGGGUAGAAACCUCAGAGAAGGGAGAACGGUGUUCUUCAGACAGCUGGCAGGCCCCACGGCAGGCCGUGGAACAAUGUUGUGGGUCACAACCAGCGUUCUGAUUGUCGAUGGGGAAGAAUGGAGAAGAAAAGCAUCUCCACUCCCGCGUGGAGGAGGCAGGUACCUCUGUGUUGCACAGUGUGGCCCCCAGAACAUUUGUAGGUGGCCCCGGACACCAGCUGGAUGCUACCAGCUGAUAUGGUCUUGGCCUCUUUGUCUUUACCUGUAUAAGGGCCACUUGUCUCCUAAGGGGGUAUUCUGAGCAGAAAAGCCAGGGCCUCCGGGAACUGUCCAACCUGGACCCCAAACACGAGGGGCAAACAUGUGCCCCCAACGUCAGCCCGCCCGCUUGCUGCUACACAGCUCUGUCCGCACUCAGUUUUCCACACACCCUUCUUCCCAUUCCAUCCAGGAAUCGUAGGAGUUACUUUCUUAACUGGCGCUCAGCACACCUUACAGCCCACAGUGACCGUCCCCUCGUCUCAGUCUAUCAGAUGGGAAACAUGCCCCAGAUAGAUCUCUGUUGUGUAUAAGCCACAAUGUCUGUGGCAUUUUUGCAAGGGCAGCUCGAUAGGGUAAGUUAAAGUUGUCAGGAAUAAUUACAAAAGGGUGUCUUGUAGCCUUUGCCCCAUUGCCCCCGUGGGGACAUUGUGAGGAUCCACCCAGGGUUUGACAUUAACACAACCCACAAGUGCCCCCUUCACAUUGCCGCACGUUUUCUCACACUCGUAUUCGUGUUGUGCUUCUAUACAGCUUUGUCACAUGUGUGACAUCGCCACAGUUGAGAUGAUGAACUGUCAGUUACCGAAAGAACCCCCAUGGUGCCCUAUCCCCACCCCUACCCCAAUCCCCAAAACCGUUAAGCCCUAGUACCUGCUAAUCUGCCCUCAAUUUCUAAGAUCUCAUUUUUUUUAAUUAAAAAAAAUUUUUUUAACGUUUAUUCAUUUUCGAAAGACAGACUGUAAGGGGGGAGGGGGAGAGAGAGAGACAGAAUCUGAAGCAGGCUCCAGGCUCUGAGCUGUCAGCACAGAGCCCAAUGCAGGGCUCGAACCCACAAACCGUGAGACACACCUGAGCUGAAGUCGGAUGCUUAACUGACUGAGCCACCCAGGCGCCCCUUUUUUAAAAUUUCUUAAUGUUUAUUUAUUUUUGAGAGAGACAGGCAGACAGAGUAUGGGUGGGGGAGGGCAGAGAGAGAGGGAGACACAGAAUCCAAAGCAGGCUUCAGGAUCUGAGCUGUCAGCCCAGAGCCUGACAUGGGGCUCGAACCUGUGAACUUCAAGAUUGUGACCUGAGCCGAAGUCGGACUCUCAACAGACUGAGUCACCCAGGUGCCCCUGAACUGGCUUUUUCUACUCAGAAUUCGCUGAAGAUUUGUCCACAGUGUAUGUAUUAGUAGUUGGUUCUGGGAAAAUUAAUAAAAGGAAACUGCAUUCAGAAUAGAGUCUGAUGGACAGCAGGGGGCGCUCUCACACCCUACCGCUAGUUACCAGUUCCAGACCCAACAGGAAAAGUGGCACCUUGCAUCCGGGUACUACUUUAGCUACUACCUUUACUGUCUCAGUGGGAGGAAGGAACACCGCCGGCCCCCGCCAUCCCCCCAACAGCCCAGCCAAUGAGAAGCAGGCAUAGCCCAGCCAAUGCGUGAAAGUCUCAGCUCAGCCAAUGAGAAGCCACUAAAUUUUGAGCUCGCAGUUUAUUCUAAUGCACUUCUUGUUAUCACAGCCUUCCCAAAUUCGCUUGCCUUUGUGAGAGUGGUCCUCUCCUUCGUUUUGCAGAUUCACCUCUGGUUCUGCAUGAAGCUUGGUUGUCACAGAGUGCAUUUCUCUGCUAUUCCUAAAUAAACCCAUUUUACUACUCAAAAAACAAACAAAAAAAUGGCA
Neofelis nebulosa (Clouded leopard) is the source of this 2751-nucleotide long non-coding RNA. RefSeq lists it as uncharacterized. The record is from RefSeq and is a predicted model, not a curated record. Lineage: Eukaryota; Metazoa; Chordata; Mammalia; Carnivora; Felidae. The transcript has 2 exons.